Non-coding RNA from Saitozyma podzolica, 71 nucleotides. NCBI's taxonomy places the organism in Eukaryota, Fungi, Basidiomycota, Tremellomycetes, Tremellales, Trimorphomycetaceae. The record is from the annotation of a GenBank genome assembly.
AGCGAAGUGGUGUAAAGGUAACAUAUCAGUCUCAUGAACUGAUGUAAAAGGUUCAAUUCCUUUCUUCGCAU